GUGCCAGCAGCCGCGGUAAUACGUAGGGGGCAAGCGUUGUCCGGAAUUACUGGGCGUAAAGCGCGUGUAGGCGGGAAGGCAAGUCGGACGUGAAAGGCUUCGGCUCAACCGGAGACGGCCGUUCGAAACUGCCUUUCUUGAGGGUCAAAGAGGAGAGUGGAAUUCCUGGUGUAGCGGUGAAAUGCGUAGAGAUCAGGAGGAACACCCGUGGCGAAGGCGGCUCUCUGGUUGACAUCUGACGCUGAGACGCGAAAGCGUGGGGAGCGAACGGGAUUAGAUACCCUGGUAGUCC
Molecule: ribosomal RNA, 292 nt
Filed under: uncultured bacterium
Lineage: Bacteria
Description: partial 16S ribosomal RNA
Rfam family: Bacterial small subunit ribosomal RNA
Source: RNAcentral